AAUGCUACUGAAAUAAAGAUGCCUGAAGUAAAGGUUCCUGAAAUCAAGGCUGAGCAACAGGAUGUAAAUGUUAAUCCUGAGAUUACUGCACUACAAACUAUGCUUGCUGAAUGCCAAGAAAAUCUUAAGAAACUGACUUCGAUAGAGAAAAGGUUAGCCUGUUUGGAACAAAAAAUGAAAGGAAAAGUGAUGGUAGAUGAAAACACCUGGACUAAUCUUCUUAGUCGUGUCACUCUUCUUGAAACAGAAAUGCUUUUGUCUAAAAAGAAUGAUGAAUUUAUAGAGUUUAAUGAAGUUAGUGAAGACUACGCUUCUUGUAGCGACAUGGACCUUCUGAAUCCUCACAGAAAAAGCGAAGUAGAGAGGCCAGCAAGUAUUCCUCUGUCCUCUGGCUAUAGUACAGCAUCAUCAGAUUCAACUCCCAGAGCCUCUACCGUUAAUUACUGUGGUUUGAAUGAGAUUUCAGAGGUAAGAAAAUGCUUAGAUUGUUUCCUUUCUAAAUGAGGAAAACAAGCAAGCAUUAGUUUUUGUUGUAAAUAUUGCUGGCAAGAAAAAUAGCAAACGCGAAUCUUAGUCUCUCAAAAUUCUUUCAUAAGUAAACAGUACUUAAUGCAAUGUUUCAAACUGUGUUUUGUACAUUCACGGUCCAUCUUUGAUGAUGGUUUACUUUGAGAAAUCAUCUAAAUUUGUUGCUUUUUAAAUUAAAGGAAACAACAAUUCAGAAAAUGGAAAGGAUGAAAAAAAUGUAAGUAACAGAAAGGGGCAACAGAAAUUCAUUUCUCUAUAGGGAAUUGUAUUGGAUUACAGUAUAUAUAGAAUGUGCAUGUGUGUUUCAAACCUUAAAGGUCUCUCAGUCAGGUGUGG
RNAcentral lists this small RNA (864 nucleotides) under Pan troglodytes (chimpanzee). RNAcentral's name for it is "retained intron". The record is from RNAcentral. Lineage: Eukaryota; Metazoa; Chordata; Mammalia; Primates; Hominidae.